Molecule: transfer RNA, 71 nt
Filed under: Poecilimon tauricola
Lineage: Eukaryota; Metazoa; Arthropoda; Insecta; Orthoptera; Tettigoniidae
Description: transfer RNA-Val
Source: RNAcentral
AAUAAAGCUUAAAGKUUGGCCUUUCCUUUWCCCCGGAAAAGGUUUCUGUGCAAUUCAGAUUAUUUUGAAAG